This 253-nucleotide ribosomal RNA is filed under the name uncultured bacterium. RNAcentral's name for it is "partial 16S ribosomal RNA". It matches the Rfam family "Bacterial small subunit ribosomal RNA", at positions 524 to 776 of the family's 1533-position model. The record is from RNAcentral.
UACGUAGGGGGCAAGCGUUGUCCGGAAUCAUUGGGCGUAAAGAGCGUGUAGGCGGCCCGAUAAGUCCGUUGUGAAAUCCCUGGGCUCAACCCAGGAAAUGCUUCGGAUACUGGCGUGCUUGAGGCUAGUAGGGGUCACUGGAACUGACGGUGGAGCGGUGAAAUGCGUAGAUAUCGUCAGGAACGCCAAUGGUGAAGACAGGUGACUGGGCUAGAUCUGACACUGAGGCACGAAAGCGUGGGGAGCGAACAGG